UUCACAAUAAUUUUGUGAAAUAGGUAUUAAGAUCCCCGUUUUUAUAGGUGAAUGCAAGGAACCAGAAGGCAAAGCAAUAUGCUGAAGAUCAUAGUAAGGGUCAUGAUACACUAAAUUUCUGACUUCAGAUUAGCUGUUUUUUUCCUACCAUACCAGUAAAAGAGAGGAAAAUAUUUUUUCUAGAGUCAGAAAGAUUUAAUUGUACUUACAUGUAUUUACAUAUCUAUUUAAUUAAUGUAGUUAAUCAUUUAUCAAAGUGAAUUUCUAUUAAUUUCAUUUGGAAAAGUUUAGAGAUUUUCUGGAACAAAAAUUUAAUGAAAAGUUUUCUUAACACGUAGGGCUUUUUCUAAAUCCUAGAUUAGUUAAGAAAUAACCAUUAUAUCCAAUCACUUUUUUAACCUUAACAGAUGAAAAUGUUACUUUUUAGUUGCCUUCAAUUCUGUUACACUACUAAAGCAUAGCUUAAAAAUCAAAGUAUAGGCUUCAUGGAUUAUUUUUCUAACUUUCUCCAUUUCAUGGAAAUUUCUUCCAUUCUCAUAAAAAAACAGCAUUUUUUUUCCUUCACGUUUUUAUAUAAAUUCCAAUCAACAUAGAGUGUAAUAUUAGUUUCAGGUGGAAAAAAACAACAACAUUUUAACACAGUUGUACCAGGCAGUACUACUGAACAUAUAAAGUUGUCAACUUGGUAGUAGUUGUAAUUUGUUGUAUUUUUGAGACACCUAAUAAAGGUACUAUUAUUAAUGUAGCAAUUUCUUUUUGUUUCUUUUUUAUUGUCAGUUAUCUACAGGCACCAGCCUUUGCACCUGAUGCCAGCAGUGUGGCCGGAAGCAUGAACUGGGGGAAGCAGAGUGUGAGGCAUGCACUGGCAAGAUGCUCCUGGAGAACCGCUAAGAAGCCAAGGCAAGAGAUGGUUCAUUUUGUUUUGGUUUCUAUCAUUUAAAAAUACUGUAAGUUCAUUUUAGUGUUAAUGUGCAAGAAUAUUCAUUUUUUCCUAUUGCCUGGAACCCAGCCCC
RNAcentral lists this long non-coding RNA (1013 nucleotides) under Canis lupus familiaris (dog). RNAcentral's name for it is "lncRNA (ENSCAFG00000051360.1, ENSCAFG00845010660.1)". Lineage: Eukaryota; Metazoa; Chordata; Mammalia; Carnivora; Canidae. The record is from RNAcentral.